Long non-coding RNA from Dicentrarchus labrax (European seabass), 431 nucleotides. RefSeq lists it as uncharacterized. Lineage: Eukaryota; Metazoa; Chordata; Actinopteri; Moronidae. The record is from RefSeq and is a predicted model, not a curated record. The transcript has 3 exons.
UAGGUAUAAUAUAAUGUAAUGUAAAGUAAUAUAGGUAUAAUGUAAUGUAAUGUAAAGUAAUAUAGGUAUAAUGUAAUGUAAAGUAAUAUAGGUAUAAUGUAAUGUAAAGUAAUAUAAUGUAAAGUAAUAUAGGUAUAAUAUAAUGUAAUGUAAAGUAAUAUAGGUAUAAUGUAAUGUAAAGUAAUAUAGGUAUAAUAUAAUGUAAUGUGAAGUAAUAUAGGUAUAAUAUAAUGUUAUGUAAUGUAAAGUAAUAUAGGUAUAAUGUAAUGUAAAGUAAUAUAGGUAUAAUGUAAUGUAAAGUAAUGUAAUAUAGGUAUAAUGUAAUGUAAAGUAAUAUAGGUAUAAUGUAAUGUAAAGUAAUAUAAUGUAAAGUAAUAUAGGUAUAAUAUAAUGUAAUGUAAAGUAAUAUAGGUAUAAUGUAAUGUAAUGUA